GUUUAAAUAGUUUAAAUAAAAUGUUGGUUUGUGGUGCCAGAGAUAUGAUUAAAUUUCAUUUUGAACC
This 67-nucleotide transfer RNA is filed under the name Trachypenaeus curvirostris. Its description in RNAcentral is "tRNA-His". It matches the Rfam family "tRNA". Rfam says of the family: Transfer RNA (tRNA) molecules are approximately 80 nucleotides in length. Their secondary structure includes four short double-helical elements and three loops (D, anti-codon, and T loops). Lineage: Eukaryota; Metazoa; Arthropoda; Malacostraca; Decapoda; Penaeidae. The record is from RNAcentral.